GCUCCGCCUCGCGGCGCCUCAGUUUCCAGCGCUGUCGGCCCGCAGGACGGGCUUGCGCGCGUCUCGGAGCGCCUGGGGAAAACCGAACCAUCUAACUUCUGAUAGAGCGUUCUCCAGAGUCAGCAGUGAUCUGGUGAAGCGCAGAUUGCCAUAUUCACCUUUGUAACCUUGAAGCAAGGUUGAGGUGUUGCCGUGUUGCCAUGCAACUGGGUUCAAGGGAUCCUUCCAUGUCAGCCUGCCAAGGGCAGCAGCUGGGACUCAGGCACUGCCAUUGUAUCUGGAAUCUUCACCUUUUUGUCUGCUUGUUUGUGUGGUAUUGGGGAUUGAAUCCAGGGUAUCAAUGCACACUAGGCAGUGGUCUACUAUUGGGUUAAUAAUAUCCCUUAGUUAUUGCAGGCUGAUCAGGUCCACAAUCUCCUGAAUGAGUGUACGGCAAAG
Molecule: long non-coding RNA, 438 nt
Organism: Chinchilla lanigera (long-tailed chinchilla)
Lineage: Eukaryota; Metazoa; Chordata; Mammalia; Rodentia; Chinchillidae
Exons: 3
Source: RefSeq, a predicted model, not a curated record